ACGUAAGGGGCGAGCGUUGUUCGGAAUUAUUGGGCGUAAAGGGCACGCAGGCGGUUUUACAAGUCCGAUGUUAAAGACCUGGGCUUAACUCAGGGAAUGCGUUGGAAACUGUAAGACUAGAAUCUUGGAGGGGGAGUCGGAAUUCCUAGUGUAGGGGUGAAAUCUGUUGAUAUUAGGAAGAACACCGGUGGCGAAGGCGGACUCCUGGCCGAAGAUUGACGCUGAGGUGCGAAAGCAUAGGGAGCAAACAGGAUUAGAUACCCUGGUAGUCUAUGCUGUAAACGAUGUGCACUUGGUGUUGGGCCGAUUAGGUUCAGUGCCGUAGCUAACGCGAUAAGUGCACCGCCUGGGGAGUAUGCUCGCAAGGGUG
Molecule: ribosomal RNA, 370 nt
Filed under: uncultured bacterium
Lineage: Bacteria
Description: bacterial SSU rRNA
Rfam family: Bacterial small subunit ribosomal RNA
Source: RNAcentral